RNAcentral lists this long non-coding RNA (288 nucleotides) under Pandoravirus dulcis. RNAcentral's name for it is "putative ncRNA". The record is from RNAcentral.
GGCGUACACUCCUUACGACAGGGGCGCCUCCCUUUGCGCCGCCGGGCGACCGAGCGCUCGACAGGCGGGCCGCCCGGCCCCGCGGGGCGGGAGAGCGCCAGCGAGGAGAGGGAAAAAAAGUCGACCGCCCGGCGCGGUGAGAGGGGGAAAAAGAGGGGCAGAGCACAAAGGGAGGCGCGCCCAGAGAGCCAAAGACCCGGUGUCCUUUUUUUCGUACAACAAAAAGAACCUUUGACGGCAAAAAAGGCGACGCAGCGGCCCCAAAGCGCGACGGAUUCGUCCUUUUCC